AACUCAUUCAAACUCCCAAGAGUUUUACAGGAAGCAAGAAGAAAAUGACACAAGGAGGGGGUUGUGUCAGCCAGCUCUUGAAAAUAGUCUUCCAUAGGGAAAGCCAUUGGUCAGCCAGGAAGACGAUCAAGCAGCAGGAGCCUGUGACUAAGAAUUCUGACCUUCAGAAUUUCUGAGCGGCCUCCUGGAAAGAUCAGGAGUGAGAAUAUCAGCUGUGAAAAGAAGAUCAGGGAUGUGCUAGGAUUUCAGAUGGACGAGGGGAGAUAGAGGUAGAGGAAGAAGUCAUAAAUCUCCUUAGAGCUUAGGCGAUCAGUAGGCAGCAAAGAGGAGGAUCCUUACACAGUAUUUCAACCACCAGCAACCCAAAGGCAGCAUGAAGAAUUUGCUCUGAGGACCACAUUGCCACAUCUGUACCCUCAGUCAGUUUCCAGGUCAAAAGCAUUUCUAUACACGCCUUGUGUUUUGAGCUUCACCCCAACACUGUGAGUCAGGAAUUCCCUUUUGAGAGAUAAGAAUCUUGAGGCCCAGAAACCUUGGAUGAGCUGAGAAUUCUGUGUGAGAUAACGCUGGGGGAAUAGCCACAUGUUGCUGCAAUGUGGUCGUUGUCCUUGAGUUUAGACUUCUUUCUUAAUUGCCUCAUGAAAUUGGACUAUAUCCUGAAGAUCUGGAGAAGGGCAGAAGAUGUUAUCCAAUGUAUGAAAUCCUUUUAUGUUUUGUGGUUCUAUUCCAAAAGAAGUAAGAGGCAAAAAAUGCACUGCUGACAUUAAAAUUCUGUAGAGAAACUCAGUGGUGUGGACUGGCUAUGAUCUUCAAAGUUUAUUUUAAAAGAUACAGAAUGUUUUAAAAAUAAUAAGCCUCUCUACCAUAUCUAAGGCUGAUAUGCAAAUAAGAAAUUGCUUCCUCUUUCUAGUAGUGAUAACUGCUUGCCAUAUUCUUGACAGUUUAAGUGUGUUGCAUAUAUUAUCCCUUUAGCCCAAUGAAUGGAUAUUACUACUGUCCUUUUCUUAGAGAUGAGUAAUAGGAGACUGAGAGAAGUUAAGAAGCUAACCCAAGGACACGCAGCUCAAUGUGGUAGCACCGGGGUCUACACGUUUUCUGAUGCCAGAGUGUGUUUCUCUUACUCUUAAUUGCAAACUUCCAGAAACAUAACCAGUUGAUCACAUAAAUUUUUUUACUGAAAUGAAAAAAAGCCUUAUAAUUGAAGUUCAGAACUCUAACUGACUUCUCCAUCACCACGUAUACAGUUAGGGGAAGAGUCAAGGUUCAGAACUGCUGAUUUAGAAUAGCCUUAAGACUGAACCCAGACCCCAGAACCCCUUGAACUUAGCCUAGAGAUGUAUCUGGCUUAGUGAUUCUUGAUGAGAAAAAUGGGAGGUUGAUGCAAUAGUCAUUUCUCAAUAAGCAAGGAACAGUUACAUUGUACAAAAACUUACAGCAAAUAGGAUCAGCCUACUUGCUGCCAAAAAAGAGCAUUCACUCAAUUAUCCAUCAAUCAUUUUUUAGAUUGAAUAUAUAGCAUUUACUUGGAUUUUCACAAGCUUGGAGUACAAAUAAACAGAGCAAAAUAUGGGUCUCUCUCCUCACAGUGUUUAUUUGGUCCCUCAAAUACCUUCUUUCCAAGAUGCAUUUCCCCAAUAUUGGUAGAAAAGCGCAUCUAUCUUUAUAGCUCACUGAUUUCCUAUUGAUUUCUUUCCCUGAAAACCCCAUUGCCUUAGCCAUAGUCUGGCUGUGUUUGUUUGUUUGUUUGUUUUGUUUGUUUAUUUGUUUUUGGCUAGAAUGGGACUGCAGAGCUGUGACUCCAGGGAGACUGACGACUGCAGCUCUUUAACAAAUAUCUUAGACUCCUCCUUCACUAGCCUGGAUUAGCAGCUUGUCCUGAACAACUCCAGUCAAUGCCAGGCAGUGACCUCAGAGCACAGACAGGUGCCUUGAUGCCAUCAUAAGUUCAGACGCCUACACAGCAAGUCUCUUUGGACUUCCCUUGGAAUGACUUGGUCUCCACUUUGACGCCACUUGCUGGGACCCACAAUGGGCUGUGUAGAUGGAUCUCCAGUAUUUCUGUAUCUCGGGGUGGGGGUGGGGGUCGCUGAAGGGGGGAUUCCUUGGAGCGGUGAAGGAAGUGCACCUUGUUUGUUUGGCUUCCCCGAAUGCUGGGAAGGACUGCAAAGAAGCAAUCAGAUGAGAUGACCGGCCAUGAGCAGUUUCCAAUGGACUUUGCCAGGCCCAGAAGAGCUAUGACCUAACCUCUGCUUCAAGGAGACUACAAACAAAUGUAAACAAUCAGUUUCCAAGGCCGGUGUCCAGCUCCUGGUGUCCUGGUCCCCUCUGCAUUGUAAUGUAUAUCUCAGUAUCCUGGUAACUGCUGGAGCGCAGCUCUCAGUUGCUCAACAGAGCAAUCGCAGCAGAGGGCAGGGUCCAUGUGUGCACAUCUUUACACAGUUAACGAGAGCCUGCUACUUCCAAUAACUCGCUCAAUAUCUAUGGUGCUAUUUAAAGGAACACUGUGUGAUUCUUACGUCACAGAUGAAGGUAGUAAAGUACAGAGUUAGUGGCAGAACUGGGGCUGGAUGCUAAAUCUAUCAACCACCAGAAUAAUUCUUCAUGUUCUGCUUUAGGACAAGAGGAGAUCAUGAACGUGAAAGGAAGACCUUCCUUGAGAGUUGUGUGUAAGGCUGAAGUUUAUGUUCCUCCUCUGAACAAACACAGAAGAUAAGAAUUUGCUCUCCAAGACUGAACUGCAUGAAGUCAAUCACUACUUCUUCAUGUGGCGUUGGAGAGACUCUCUCAUCCCUUCUACCCUGCGUGUAAAGAUUCAGGAGAUUUCCAUGUACAGAGAGUACCCGCUGUGUUGCAGGCCUGCAGCAUGGAUGGGAUGAGCCUGGUCUGGCCUGCACAGUCAACAAAUGCCUGUCUCUUUCCUUCCUCUCUCCAGUGAUGCCUUCCAGCCCACAGCCCUCCAACAGACCUCACUCAAGGGCUGUGCAGAACCUGGGAGCAUAAAGGAGCCCAGCUAGUCCAAGCAGCUACAAGCAGCUUCUGGUGAUGCGGACGAGACCAGGAUGCUCGUGCUGGAUGAGAAGGGAGUGCCCAGGUCGGGAAGAGCCACACAGUCAACGAUUUGGGAUCUCAUUCUCCAGGCUGCACCAUGUCCACUAUCCUACUUAUUGGUCACGGGAGGCUAUUUAAAUCCAUUAAAAUUAAAAAUAAGUUUUUCAGUGUCACGAGCCUUGUUUCCAGUGCUCCAUAGCCACAGGUGUCUGAUGUCCAUCACACUAAGUGGUGCAGACAGAGACUAAUUCCAUCAUCACCCAAGGUUGCUCUGGACCAUGGGGGUCACUGACGGUUUGUGACAUGGAGAGUUAGAGGAAUAGACGUGUUUCACAAAGUGUGAAGGCCUGGCUACAGGGGGAAGAUGCUCCAGGCAAACAGUCAUCUGAAAGUCUGUUAGAUUCCUCUAGGUGGUUUCGAUGGGGACUGGGGCUGUCCUUCUGUUACUCCAGGUCAACUUUGGUGACUGUGGAUAAGAGAAGUGAGCUGGGAGUAAGCUCUGACUUCAAACCUGAAAGCAUUUUCCCCCUUGGAGUUUUGCCUUCAGGACUUAAUGGGCUCAAGUGCUAUCCUGGAGUUCCAAAUGCCCAGUGUCUUUUUUCCGCCUGCCUUCUUAGGUAGUGUCAGAUCCUGAGUCUAAGCCCCAUCAGCAAGAAUGGAAACCCAGACUGCCUGGGUUCAAAUCCUCCUGUGAUGCUUGUGGACUGUAUGAUUUUGUGAAAGUUUAAAACUUUGAUCUUCUUCUGUUUCUUCAUUUGUAAAAUAAGA
Oryctolagus cuniculus (rabbit) is the source of this 3816-nucleotide non-coding RNA. Lineage: Eukaryota; Metazoa; Chordata; Mammalia; Lagomorpha; Leporidae. The record is from RefSeq and is a predicted model, not a curated record.